This 832-nucleotide ribosomal RNA is filed under the name Azotobacter sp. GZC24. RNAcentral's name for it is "bacterial SSU rRNA". It matches the Rfam family "Bacterial small subunit ribosomal RNA", at positions 27 to 855 of the family's 1533-position model. Lineage: Bacteria; Pseudomonadati; Pseudomonadota; Gammaproteobacteria; Pseudomonadales; Pseudomonadaceae. The record is from RNAcentral.
GAUUGAACGCUGGCGGCAGGCCUAACACAUGCAAGUCGAGCGGAUGAGGGGUGCUUGCACCUCGAUUCAGCGGCGGACGGGUGAGUAAUGCCUAGGAAUCUGCCUGUUAGUGGGGGAUAACGCGGGGAAACUCGCGCUAAUACCGCAUACGUCCUACGGGAGAAAGUGGGGGACCCUCGGGCCUCACGCUAACAGAUGAGCCUAGGUCGGAUUAGCUAGUUGGUGGGGUAAAGGCCCACCAAGGCGACGAUCCGUAACUGGUCUGAGAGGAUGAUCAGUCACACUGGAACUGAGACACGGUCCAGACUCCUACGGGAGGCAGCAGUGGGGAAUAUUGGACAAUGGGCGAAAGCCUGAUCCAGCCAUGCCGCGUGUGUGAAGAAGGUCUUCGGAUUGUAAAGCACUUUAAGUUGGGAGGAAGGGCGCUCGGUGAAUACCCAGGCGUCUUGACGUUACCGACAGAAUAAGCACCGGCUAACUUCGUGCCAGCAGCCGCGGUAAUACGAAGGGUGCAAGCGUUAAUCGGAAUUACUGGGGUAAAGCGCGCGUAGGUGGUUCGGCAAGUUGGAUGUGAAAGCCCCGGGCUCAACCUGGGAACCGCAUCCAAAACUACUGGGCUAGAGUACGGUAGAGGGUGGUGGAAUUUCCUGUGUAGCGGUGAAAUGCGUAGAUAUAGGAAGGAACACCAGUGGCGAAGGCGACCACCUGGACCGAUACUGACACUGAGGUGCGAAAGCGUGGGGAGCAAACAGGAUUAGAUACCCUGGUAGUCCACGCCGUAAACGAUGUCGACUAGCCGUUGGGCUCCUUGAGAGCUUAGUGGCGCAGCUAA